This 74-nucleotide transfer RNA is filed under the name Solirubrobacterales bacterium. Its description in RNAcentral is "tRNA-Ile". It matches the Rfam family "tRNA". Rfam says of the family: Transfer RNA (tRNA) molecules are approximately 80 nucleotides in length. Their secondary structure includes four short double-helical elements and three loops (D, anti-codon, and T loops). Further hydrogen bonds mediate the characteristic L-shaped molecular structure. tRNAs have two regions of fundamental functional importance: the anti-codon, which is responsible for specific mRNA codon recognition, and the 3' end, to which the tRNAs corresponding amino acid is attached (by aminoacyl-tRNA synthetases). tRNAs cope with the degeneracy of the genetic code in two manners: having more than one tRNA (with a specific anti-codon) for a particular amino acid; and 'wobble' base-pairing, i.e. permitting non-standard base-pairing at the 3rd anti-codon position. Lineage: Bacteria; Bacillati; Actinomycetota; Thermoleophilia; Solirubrobacterales. The record is from RNAcentral. RNAcentral also lists the same sequence under 2 other names.
GGGGCAGUAGCUCAGUUGGUUAGAGCAGCGGACUCAUAAUCCGUCGGUCGCUGGUUCGAGUCCAGCCUGCCCCA